This 253-nucleotide ribosomal RNA is filed under the name uncultured bacterium. RNAcentral describes it as "partial 16S ribosomal RNA". It matches the Rfam family "Bacterial small subunit ribosomal RNA", at positions 524 to 776 of the family's 1533-position model. The record is from RNAcentral.
UACAGAGGUCUCAAGCGUUGUUCGGAUUCAUUGGGCGUAAAGGGCGCGUAGGCGGCGGGGUAAGUCGGGUGUGAAAUCUCAGAGCUCAACUCUGAAACUGCACUCGAUACUGCUCUGCUUGAGGACUGGAGAGGAGACUGGAAUUCACGGUGUAGCAGUGAAAUGCGUAGAUAUCGUGAGGAAGACCAGUGGCGAAGGCGGGUCUCUGGACAGUUCCUGACGCUGAGGCGCGAAGGCCAGGGGGGCAAACGGG